CACCUACGGGAGGCAGCAGUAGGGAAUCUUCCACAAUGGACGAAAGUCUGAUGGAGCAACGCCGCGUGAGUGAAGAAGGGUUUCGGCUCGUAAAGCUCUGUUGGUAGUGAAGAAAGAUAGAGGUAGUAACUGGCCUUUAUUUGACGGUAAUUACUUAGAAAGUCACGGCUAACUACGUGCCAGCAGCCGCGGUAAUACGGAGGUGGCAAGCGUUGUCCGGAUUUAUUGGGCGUAAAGCGAGUGCAGGCGGUUCCAUAAAUAUGAUGUGAAAAGCCUUGGGCCAAAC
Molecule: ribosomal RNA, 286 nt
Filed under: uncultured bacterium
Lineage: Bacteria
Description: partial 16S ribosomal RNA
Rfam family: Bacterial small subunit ribosomal RNA
Source: RNAcentral